Oryza punctata is the source of this 204-nucleotide non-coding RNA. The record is from Rfam. Lineage: Eukaryota; Viridiplantae; Streptophyta; Magnoliopsida; Poales; Poaceae.
AAAGAACACAGUUUUGCGUUUUUGUUCUAACGUUUAACCGUUCGUCUUAUUUGAAAAAAAUUAUGAUUGGUAUUUUUAUUGUUAUUGAUGAUAAAACACGAAUAAUACUUUAAGCGUGACUAAUUUUUGUUAAUUUUUUAAUAAAAUUUUCAAAUAAGACGAACAGUUAAACGUUGGAUAUGGAAAUUGACAACUGCACUUAUA